AAUGCAUGAGACCGGUGUUCGCUGUUGUUUCCUUUGUGAACGGCAGCGAUCUGAGAUAUACGGUCUGAACUUGAUCAGGUUAAAGCCUGCGAAAGGACUCAUGCUUUGCUCCCU
RNAcentral lists this non-coding RNA (114 nucleotides) under Bipolaris zeicola. RNAcentral describes it as "TPP sequence". It matches the Rfam family "TPP riboswitch aptamer (THI element)". Rfam says of the family: Vitamin B(1) in its active form thiamin pyrophosphate (TPP) is an essential coenzyme that is synthesised by coupling of pyrimidine and thiazole moieties in bacteria. The previously detected thiamin-regulatory element, thi box was extended, resulting in a new, highly conserved RNA secondary structure, the THI element, which is widely distributed in eubacteria and also occurs in some archaea. Analysis of operon structures identified a large number of new candidate thiamin-regulated genes, mostly transporters, in various prokaryotic organisms. The record is from RNAcentral. RNAcentral also lists the same sequence under 1 other name. Lineage: Eukaryota; Fungi; Ascomycota; Dothideomycetes; Pleosporales; Pleosporaceae.